AACGAACGCUGGCGGCAUGCCUAACACAUGCAAGUCGAACGAGACCUUCGUGAGUGGUUGCGCUCGCGUGCGUAACGCGGGGGAAGCUUCCGGUAUGCUCGGGAUAACUCUCCGAAAGGGGUGCUAAUGCCGGGUAAUUUCCGCUAACCAAAGAUUGAUCGACUUUGUAUGGGCGCGCGUUGUUUUGGCCUGUUGGUAGUGUAAGAGCCUACCACGGGUACGAUCCAUAGCUGGGAUGAGAGGAUGCGCCGCGACACUGGGACUAGGACACGGUCCAGAAUACUACGGGAGGCAGGAGUGGGGAAUAUUGGAAAAUGGGGGAAAGCAUGAACCAGCAAGGCCGCGUGAGUGAUGAAGGUCGUAGGGUUGUAAAGCUCUUUUACACGGGAUGAUAAUGACAGUACCGGGAGAAUAAGCACCGGCUAACUUCGUG
This 433-nucleotide ribosomal RNA is filed under the name uncultured bacterium. RNAcentral describes it as "partial 16S ribosomal RNA". It matches the Rfam family "Bacterial small subunit ribosomal RNA", at positions 29 to 507 of the family's 1533-position model. The record is from RNAcentral.